GGAAGCAACAACGAUGGCAAGAAUAAUUUCUAGGAUUAAUAGGACGAUGGAUCCCGCCAUCGAGUAUGAUUCAGUAUGAUGUGAAGGCUUACAUUUCACUCGGGAGAGGCUCUGAAGGAGAUAAUGGCAGGGAUCCAUGAGGGGAGAUCAAUGCCAUGUUUGAGCUGCCUAAUAUGUGCAACAGAUGCAAAACAUGUCUUGAUUUGCCACCAUGUUGCAAUUACAAGAGUAGUAACUGAUUUAGUACUAUGUUAAUGCCACAAUUCCACGUUUUGAACAGGACAAGGUGACACUGAACAGUACACACUCAAAUGUAGAUUAACUUCGGCCAUCUCAUGCAGUCAUGC
This is a long non-coding RNA of Triticum dicoccoides, 347 nucleotides long. RefSeq lists it as uncharacterized. The record is from RefSeq and is a predicted model, not a curated record. NCBI's taxonomy places the organism in Eukaryota, Viridiplantae, Streptophyta, Magnoliopsida, Poales, Poaceae. The transcript is spliced from 3 exons.